RNAcentral lists this ribosomal RNA (440 nucleotides) under uncultured bacterium. RNAcentral describes it as "partial 16S ribosomal RNA". It matches the Rfam family "Bacterial small subunit ribosomal RNA", at positions 338 to 795 of the family's 1533-position model. The record is from RNAcentral.
CCUACGGGAGGCAGCAGUAGGGAAUAUUGCUCAAUGGGGGAAACCCUGAAGCAGCGACGCCGCGUGGAGGAUGAAGGUUUUCGGCUUGUAAACUCCUUUUGUUAGAGAAGAUAAUGACGGUAUCCACCGUAUAAGCACCGGCUAACCCCGUGCCAGCAGCCGCGGUAAUACGGAGGGUGCAAGCGUUACUCGGAAUCACUGGGCGUAAAGAGCGCGUAGGCGGGAUAGCAAGUCAGAUGUGAAAUCCUAGGGCUCAACCAUAGAACUGCAUUUGAAACGGUGAUUCUAGAGUAUGGGAGGGGUAGGCGGAAUUCUUGGUGUAGGGGUAAAAUGCGUAGAGAUCAAGAGGAAUACUCAUGGCGAAGGCGACCUGCUAGAACAUAACUGACGUUGAUGCGCGAAAGCGUGGGGAGCAAACAGGAUUAGAUACCCUAGUAGUC